RNAcentral lists this unclassified non-coding RNA (322 nucleotides) under Melitaea cinxia (Glanville fritillary). Its description in RNAcentral is "misc RNA ENSMCXG00005005382.1". The record is from RNAcentral. Lineage: Eukaryota; Metazoa; Arthropoda; Insecta; Lepidoptera; Nymphalidae.
GGAAACAAUCUUUUCACUCGACCGAGUCGCCAGUUUAGUGGAGCUACCCUUGAUUUGGAACAUAGCAAACGUACAAAUAUUUUUCCAUCGACAUUUAUUGAUCGCAUAUAAAUACAAGCUCCAUAGGCUGAUUCUGAAGCGUCACUGAAUGAAUGUAGUUCAAUGAUUUCGGGAGAAUUAAUAAGAACUAAUCUUUGUAAUUUGAAGUCCUUUAAAUGCCGUAAAUUUUGAACAAACCUUUGCCAAUCUCUUUGGAUAUCGAUAGGCGCAAGUUCAUCCCAAUGUACUUUAUUUUUCCACAACCGUUGUAAUAUUAAUUUUG